GGAUGCGAUCAUACCAGCACUAAAGCCGGAUCCCAUCAGAACUCCGAAAAAGUUAAGCGUGCUUGGGUGAGAGUAGUACUAGGAAGGGUGACCUCCUGGGAAGUCCUCGUGUUGCAUUCC
Molecule: ribosomal RNA, 120 nt
Filed under: Triticum aestivum (bread wheat)
Lineage: Eukaryota; Viridiplantae; Streptophyta; Magnoliopsida; Poales; Poaceae
Source: RNAcentral